Molecule: non-coding RNA, 447 nt
Organism: Prunus avium (sweet cherry)
Lineage: Eukaryota; Viridiplantae; Streptophyta; Magnoliopsida; Rosales; Rosaceae
Source: RefSeq, a predicted model, not a curated record
GGGAAAAUUUGAUUUUAGCCCUAAAUGAGUUGAAGAAGGCGUUAUAUCGUUCGAAAAUAGAAAAAAGGGGGUUAAUUGGGGAGAGUUAGGGUUCGAAGAUUUGGGAGGAAAAGCGUUCGCAAAAUUUGCAGAGGGUUUCGAAAAGUUGCAGAUUGGGUAGACUAAUAGCAGCACUUGGGUUUAGGGUAUCAUUGUAGUCGACAAAAAGGAGCGAAUCUUGAAGGCGAGCAUGAGCAUUAUCAGAGAGGCUGGUGCUGCUCCACCAGUGUACGAUGAUAAUACAUUGUUCACAUGGAUGGUUUGUCAUGGAGGUAGGUUGGUGGAAGUUAAGAACAAUGACAUGGGUUGGUGUUACAUCGGUGGAGUGUGUGUCGAGUGCUUGGUGUUGGUAAGAUAAAAAUGGCUUUUUGUGAUUCCUUUUGGUUUUGUUCGUAAGGAAAAAAAAUG